ACUUAAAUAGCUUAUAUAGAGCAUAAUAUUGAAGAUAUUAAGGAAAUUGUUGAAUUUUUAAGUA
This 64-nucleotide transfer RNA is filed under the name Pseudotetracha mendacia. RNAcentral describes it as "tRNA-Phe". The record is from RNAcentral. Lineage: Eukaryota; Metazoa; Arthropoda; Insecta; Coleoptera; Carabidae.